GAUCAUGGCUCAGGAUGAACGCUGGCGGCGUGCUUAACACAUGCAAGUCGAACGGAAGUUAAGAUGGAAGUUUUCGGGCGGAAGACUUAGUUGACUGAGUGGCGGACGGGUGAGUAACGCGUGGGUAACCUGCCUCACACAGGGGGGAUAACAGUUAGAAAUGACUGCUAAUACCGCAUAAGCGCACAGUACCGCAUGGUACAGUGUGAAAAACUCCGGUGGUGUGAGAUGGACCCGCGUCUGAUUAGCUAGUUGGUGAGGUAACGGCUCACCAAGGCGACGAUCAGUAGCCGACCUGAGAGGGUGACCGGCCACAUUGGGACUGAGACACGGCCCAGACUCCUACGGGAGGCAGCAGUGGGGGAUAUUGCACAAUGGAGGAAACUCUGAUGCAGCAACGCCGCGUGAGGGAAGAAGGUCUUCGGAUUGUAAACCUUUGUCUUUGGUGACGAACAAAUGACGGUAGCCAAGGAGGAAGCUCCGGCUAACUACGUG
This 495-nucleotide ribosomal RNA is filed under the name uncultured bacterium. RNAcentral's name for it is "bacterial SSU rRNA". It matches the Rfam family "Bacterial small subunit ribosomal RNA", at positions 15 to 507 of the family's 1533-position model. The record is from RNAcentral.